GGAGGGUGCAAGCGUUGUCCSGGAAUCACUGGGCGUAAAGGGCGCGUAGGCGGCUCAUGAAGGCUGUGGUGAAAGUCCGGGGCUCAACCUCGGAUCGGCCGUGGCGACUCGUGGGCUGGAGCACUGUAGAGGCGGGUGGAAUUCCGGGUGUAGCGGUGGAAUGCGUAGAGAUCCGGAAGAACACCAGUGGCGAAGGCGGCCCGCUGGGCAGUGGCUGACGCUGAAGCGCGACAGCGUGGGGAGCAAACAGGAUUAGAUACCCUGGUAGUCCACGCCGUAAACGAUGGGCACUAGGUGCUUGGGGGAGCGGCCCUCUGAGUGCCGGCGCUAACGCAUUAAGUGCCCCGCCUGGGGAGUACGGCCGCAAGGUUG
This 372-nucleotide ribosomal RNA is filed under the name uncultured bacterium. RNAcentral describes it as "bacterial SSU rRNA". It matches the Rfam family "Bacterial small subunit ribosomal RNA", at positions 527 to 896 of the family's 1533-position model. The record is from RNAcentral.